This 403-nucleotide ribosomal RNA is filed under the name Verrucomicrobiota bacterium. RNAcentral describes it as "Verrucomicrobia bacterium partial 16S ribosomal RNA". It matches the Rfam family "Bacterial small subunit ribosomal RNA", at positions 355 to 776 of the family's 1533-position model. Lineage: Bacteria; Pseudomonadati; Verrucomicrobiota. The record is from RNAcentral.
UGGGGAAUCUUGCACAAUGGGGGCAACCCUGAUGCAGCGACGCCGCGUGAGCGAUGAAGGUUUUCGAAUCGUAAAGCUCUGUCCUAUGGGAAGAUAAUGACGGUACCAUGGGAGGAAGCCCCGGCUAACUACGUGCCAGCAGCCGCGGUAAUACGUAGGGGGCGAGCGUUGUCCGGAAUUACUGGGCGUAAAGGGUUCGCAGGCGGCAUGGCAAGUCCGAUGUAAAAGGCGAAGGCUCAACCUUCGUAAGCAUCGGAAACUGUCAAGCUUGAGUGAAGGAGAGGCAAGUGGAAUUCCUAGUGUAGCGGUGGAAUGCGUAGAUAUUAGGAGGAAUACCGGUGGCGAAGGCGACUUGCUGGACUUCAACUGACGCUGAGGAACGAAAGCGUGGGUAGCAAACAGG